GGUAAAGAAAAUAUGCGACAAAAUGGUGGAUGACAUCAACAAGAUGAUUGCACUUGUUCAGAUUUCUUCGGCAAUGAUGCCAGUAGGGGUAGGAUGAAAAAUUGUAAUAGCAUAAAGGACUCAUGAAACUGUUCCGGAUGGCAUUUAUCUUUCUAUAAGUUUUUUGCUUUUUGGAGGAAGUUAAGAGUAUGUUUUUGGAAAAUGCCAUUUUAGGUAAUAGGCACUCUAGUGAGCUUUUGCUUUGUUUUGUAAGUGUGUGAACUGCUUUGCCUAGUCAAUGUUAGUAGUAAUCCAUGUGUCCUUAGCUUAUCUAACUAGGUACUAGUAUUAGCCUAAUCUAGUUAAGAGAUCAGUUUCUUUCCUUGGUCUAUAAGGUUUAGUUUCUUAAGGAGUAAGACUUAUAAGAAACAUAACUUUAUUACAACACAACAAUAUUACAUAAGAGUGUACAACACACUCUCUUUAGUGACUAGCCUAGCAUUCAACCUUUACUUCUACCAUGCUCAUGGUUGAAUGGCAUGGUAAGGAAGGGGGCCUCUAUUUAUAGGCCAAGGGAGUUUGUAGGAUGAUGACAUGUGUCCACUUUUAGAGUUUUCACUAGACAAAUAUCUAUAUUCUACAUUAUUCUAAUUUCUUCAUGGCAACAACAUCUAGUGCCUUCAUGGAAAAUAUCAUGGAUCAUGAAUUAUGGGUAAGGCUCUAGAAGUUUGUAUUGGUUUCCUUCAACAUUCAAGUUACCAUAUUUAUUCCCUUUUGGGUGUUGUUCAAGGAGCUAAACAAUAAAAAAUAUAUACGACAACGUAGAACUUAAAUAUAUCUAGGCAUUUACCUUAUAUGAGCACAUUAAAUAUCUCUAAAGUUAUUGGUUGAGCUAACUAAAAUAUACCUUUUAAAUAUUUGCUUUAUCAGCUUCAACUUCACCUUUAGCCUUCAAAUAUUCCUGUAUUCCUGCAAAGGUCUACUUUGCAAAGUUAGUACUUUCUAUUUUACAUAAAGUAAGAAUUGUACCACUAGUCCCUAAAAUAUAUUUUCUACUUUGCAAUUGUUAUUUUUUUUCACAAUCAAUUCCAUGUUCUUUUCCUAUGCGGAGGAUGGUGUGGGCUAAUGGUGCAAACAGAACAAUGUUUAUAAGCCUACCAAAGCAAAGCAAUUUGAAUGUUGAAGAGGGUGGGUGAGAGUACCGAACAGUAAGGAGUAGUGCGGCAAGUUUCUUCAACUUAAAGUCUUAAACAUACCUACAAAUAAAGCAUAUAUAACUUAUCAUGUGUGUCCAAAAAUAUCAUUGUGAUUUCAUCUUUCAUUGCACUUAGGCGUAAAGCCAUGGUCCAACCAAUAGAAUACAGUAGGUUCAUGCCAAUAACUUUUCAACUCCUGUUAAAGACGACCAAACCAUUUGUAAUAUCAGUCCCAGCACAACAAUUGUGAUAAAAUAUAUCAACCCCUUGAUAUUGAAGAUCUACAGUGCUGUAGAAUGUGUCUAUCAGACAAAUGAAAAAAUUUCAACAGUUCGAAAUUAUAAUAAAUCAUAUAUUGUAUCAUUAGUAACUUACCCUAAGUUUCCUCCUCUAAGGCAAGAACUUGCAGGAUUGCACUGGGUUAGACAUCUUUUACUGUUGUAUAAUGCUUUUGGAACAUAAUUUGUAUACAACGGCCUCUUCCAUGUUCUCUUGAACACUGAAGUUUACCUGCUGCUUAGCAUGAAUUAACUCCAUUCCACCAUGAAGAAAAACAAUCGACAAUUUAUUACCGUUGUAUACAACAACAUCAGUGGCACUGAAGUUCCUUUCUAUCGAAUAUCCAAAAGUGAUAACGAAGUCCAUCGUAGCAUUGCCUUGAAUAUUGAUUUUGGUUGUUAAUGUUAGAAAUAACACUUGUAUUCAUAAUAGGGGCACUAGGCCCAUAUAUAUACAGGUACAGGAAGGGGAAAAUAUACAUACAAAACUCCCUAAUACAAAAGGAAAAAUACCAACAGUACAUAUACAUCUAACAGUUUAGACAUAGCAAAAUCUAUCAUCAUAUGUAAGGAUCAAUCCGCAUUGGUGCACGUCUCCAACUUUUAUCAGUACAAAACAGUUUUGACAAUCCUACGCUUUUGUUGAAUAGCUCCGUAAAUAUCCUACAGAAAGAAAAAUGUUACUUUUUAUGCUUUUGUUUCAUUGUAUUACCAUAAACAUCUUACAUAAAAGAAAAUUUUACUGAGACUGAAAAGUUCAAAAUUGUAAAACAAACAUAUAACUUUAGAGUUUGUCAAAAACCUCACUGCAGCUUAUGCCCUUUAAUGUGGCUUCCAAUGCCUUCUAAUCAUUUGAUUCUAUCAACAGCUAACAUUGUAAUGCUUAAUACCGGUCAAGCUUUAGCUAAAUGCCUAACCACCACACUAAAUUGAUAGAUAAUACCAGUCAAGCUUUAGCUAAAUGCCUAACCACCACACUAAAUUGAUAGAUAAUACCAGUCAAGCUUUAGCUAAAUGCCCUCUAAUGUGGAGGAAGCUGUAAGGUAAAGAAAAUAUGCGGCAAAAUGGUGGAUGACAUCAACAAGAUGAUUGCACUUGUUCAGAUUUCUUCAGCAAUGAUGCCAAUAGGGGUGGGCUAAAAAAUUGUAAUAGCACAAAGGACUCAUGAAAGUGUUGCAGAUGACGUUUAUUUUUCUGUACGUUUUUUGCUUUUUGGAGGAAGUUAAGAGUAUGUUUUUGGAAAUGUCAUUUUAGGUAAUAGGCACUCUAAUGAGCUUUUGCUUUGUUUUGUAAGUGUGUGAACUGCUUUGCCUAGUCAAUAUUAGUAGUAAUCCAUGUGUCCUUAGCUUAUCUAACUAGGUACUAGUAUUAGCCUAAUCUAGUUAAGAGAUCAAUUUCUUUCCUUGGUCCAUAAGUUUAGUUUCCUUAAGGAGUAAGACUAGUAACAACUUGGCUGCAAGCUUGAGUCUAGUCAAUGGGUCAAGUCUUUGUCUUAGUAAGCAAGCCACUAGGGGUGUUAUGAGUGUUCCCUUUCAGUUAUAAACAAGAAGCAAAGAGCCAGCCAGCUGCAGCUCAAAACUAUGGUUCACUCUUUUGCUGUUUUUCCAACAGUCAUGUUUU
RNAcentral lists this long non-coding RNA (3073 nucleotides) under Setaria viridis. Its description in RNAcentral is "long non-coding RNA (SVIR_LNC008558)". Lineage: Eukaryota; Viridiplantae; Streptophyta; Magnoliopsida; Poales; Poaceae. The record is from RNAcentral.